AGCGAGUGUUGAUUCAGUGAGUCA
This 24-nucleotide non-coding RNA is filed under the name Arabidopsis thaliana (thale cress). Lineage: Eukaryota; Viridiplantae; Streptophyta; Magnoliopsida; Brassicales; Brassicaceae. The record is from RNAcentral.